Molecule: long non-coding RNA, 427 nt
Organism: Pleuronectes platessa (European plaice)
Lineage: Eukaryota; Metazoa; Chordata; Actinopteri; Pleuronectiformes; Pleuronectidae
Exons: 2
Source: RefSeq, a predicted model, not a curated record
UAUUCUGAACUCUGCUGCUGUAGCCGAGACCAACACAUGGGACACAUUUUGUGGGAUUUGAGCGCUCAUGGUUCAUCUGGGUCCGGGCUGCAGGAGGAUGAUGAAGAUACUGCUGCGGCUCCUCUGCCUCCUGCUUCCUCUGAGCCUCCUCACGUGGAGCCGCAGGGCCCCUUCGACACCAGGGGCUGAAAGACCCCGAUGGCCCUGUGAGGAAACCGCUUCUCAUCACUUGUGGAUGUUCUGAUCCAACAAUCCUAGGACUGCAAACCCGGAACUCUUCAUUUUCUUUUUUCUUUUUAAAAAAAUAUCCUUGAUUCACCCUCACACAGGAACUUUACAGACAAAGAAGCCCAAGUAACUCUUUAAUUUCCAGCACACGACGUCGCCAACUGCUAAAACUUCUGUGAAUAAAAGGAGGGAUAAUUAA